CCUACGUGGUGCUGCAGUGGGGAAUAUUGGACAAUGGGCGAAAGCCUGAUCCAGCCAUGCCGCGUGUGUGAAGAAGGCCUUCGGGUUGUAAAGCACUUUCAGUGGGGAAGAAAGCCUUGGGGCUAAUACCCUCGAGGAAGGACAUCACCCACAGAAGAAGCACCGGCUAACUCCGUGCCAGCAGCCGCGGUAAUACGGAGGGUGCGAGCGUUAAUCGGAAUUACUGGGCGUAAAGCGCGCGUAGGCGGUCUGAUAAGCCGGUUGUGAAAGCCCCGGGCUCAACCUGGGAACGGCAUCCGGAACUGUCAGGAUAGAGUGCAGGAGAGGAAGGUAGAAUUCCCGGUGUAGCGGUGAAAUGCGUAGAGAUCGGGAGGAAUACCAGUGGCGAAGGCGGCCUUCUGGACUGACACUGACGCUGAGGUGCGAAAGCGUGGGUAGCAAACAGGAUUAGAUACCCCAGUAGUC
Molecule: ribosomal RNA, 465 nt
Filed under: Vreelandella stevensii
Lineage: Bacteria; Pseudomonadati; Pseudomonadota; Gammaproteobacteria; Oceanospirillales; Halomonadaceae
Description: partial 16S ribosomal RNA
Rfam family: Bacterial small subunit ribosomal RNA
Source: RNAcentral